GAUGAACGCUGGCGGCGUGCCUAAUACAUGCAAGUCGAGCGAACGGACGAGAAGCUUGCUUCUCUGAUGUUAGCGGCGGACGGGUGAGUAACACGUGGAUAACCUACCUAUAAGACUUGGAUAACUUCGGGAAACCGGAGCUACUACCGGAUAAUAUUUUGAACCGCAUGGUUCAAAAGUGAAAGACGGUCUUGCUGUCACUUAUAGAUGGAUCCGCGCUGCAUUAGCUAGUUGGUAAGGUAACGGCUUACCAAGGCAACGAUGCAUAGCCGACCUGAGAGGGUGAUCGGCCACACUGGAACUGAGACACGGUCCAGACUCCUACGGGAGGCAGCAGUAGGGAAUCUUCCGCAAUGGGCGAAAGCCUGACGGAGCAACGCCGCGUGAGUGAUGAAGGUCUUCGGAUCGUAAAACUCUGUUAUUAGGGAAGAACAUAUGUGUAAGUAACUGUGCACAUCUUGACGGUACCUAAUCAGAAAGCCACGGCUAACUACGUG
Molecule: ribosomal RNA, 497 nt
Filed under: uncultured bacterium
Lineage: Bacteria
Description: partial 16S ribosomal RNA
Rfam family: Bacterial small subunit ribosomal RNA
Source: RNAcentral